Molecule: long non-coding RNA, 298 nt
Organism: Chiroxiphia lanceolata (lance-tailed manakin)
Lineage: Eukaryota; Metazoa; Chordata; Aves; Passeriformes; Pipridae
Exons: 3
Source: RefSeq, a predicted model, not a curated record
GCUGCUCGCUGACCUCAAACUGCAUGAAUAAAAGGCCAAGAGAAAUCGUGGUGGAAUAAGAUGCAGUGUUUUAACUAACGGUUGUAUUAAACAUAGAGAAGACCUAUGUAGUCAAGUGGAUGGACUGCAAGACAGAGACUGAGGGAGCAAGUUCCCUUCCACUGUAAGAAAUGAUCAGAGUGGACCUGCUUUACUCUGGAGGUGGUUGCUGUUAGCUAUGGAUUCACAAGAGAUGUCAAGGUGGUGGAUGACUCCUGCUGCAGCAUUUUGGCUGAUGCCAGCAGAACUUGGACAGGCA